This 287-nucleotide ribosomal RNA is filed under the name Escherichia coli. Its description in RNAcentral is "partial 23S ribosomal RNA". It matches the Rfam family "Bacterial large subunit ribosomal RNA", at positions 1279 to 1569 of the family's 2925-position model. Lineage: Bacteria; Pseudomonadati; Pseudomonadota; Gammaproteobacteria; Enterobacterales; Enterobacteriaceae. The record is from RNAcentral.
GUAUCAGAAGUGCGAAUGCUGACAUAAGUAACGAUAAAGCGGGUGAAAAGCCCGCUCGCCGGAAGACCAAGGGUUCCUGUCCAACGUUAAUCGGGGCAGGGUGAGUCGACCCCUAAGGCGAGGCCGAAAGGCGUAGUCGAUGGGAAACAGGUUAAUAUUCCUGUACUUGGUGUUACUGCGAAGGGGGGACGGAGAAGGCUAUGUUGGCCGGGCGACGGUUGUCCCGGUUUAAGCGUGUAGGCUGGUUUUCCAGGCAAAUCCGGAAAACCAAGGCUGAGGCGUGAUGA